Molecule: ribosomal RNA, 133 nt
Filed under: uncultured bacterium
Lineage: Bacteria
Description: partial 16S ribosomal RNA
Source: RNAcentral
ACCCUACCGUCAUCCCACAGGCAUUGCCUCCUGUGGUUAUUCCUCAGAUAGAAAAGGGCUUUACAACCUUCCGGCCUUCUUCACCCACGCGGCGUCGCUCUGUCAGACUUUCGUCCAUUGCAGAAGAUUCUUA